RNAcentral lists this transfer RNA (89 nucleotides) under Candidatus Ancaeobacter aquaticus. RNAcentral's name for it is "tRNA-Ser". It matches the Rfam family "tRNA". From Rfam's summary of the family: Transfer RNA (tRNA) molecules are approximately 80 nucleotides in length. Their secondary structure includes four short double-helical elements and three loops (D, anti-codon, and T loops). The record is from RNAcentral. Lineage: Bacteria; Pseudomonadati; Candidatus Auribacterota; Candidatus Ancaeobacteria; Candidatus Ancaeobacterales; Candidatus Ancaeobacteraceae.
GGAGGGGUGGCUGAGUGGUCGAAAGCAGCCGCCUGCUAAGCGGCUGAUUGGGUAACACCGAUCCCAGGGUUCGAAUCCCUGCCCCUCCG